UACGUAGGGUGCGAGCGUUGUCCGGAAUUAUUGGGCGUAAAGAGCUCGUAGGCGGUCUGUCGCGUCUGCUGUGAAAUCCCGAGGCUCAACCUCGGGCUUGCAGUGGGUACGGGCAGGCUAGAGUGCGGUAGGGGAGACUGGAAUUCCUGGUGUAGCGGUGAAAUGCGCAGAUAUCAGGAGGAACACCGAUGGCGAAGGCAGGUCUCUGGGCCACUACUGACGCUGAGAAGCGAAAGCAUGGGGAGCGAACAGG
This 253-nucleotide ribosomal RNA is filed under the name uncultured bacterium. RNAcentral describes it as "partial 16S ribosomal RNA". It matches the Rfam family "Bacterial small subunit ribosomal RNA", at positions 524 to 776 of the family's 1533-position model. The record is from RNAcentral.